This 496-nucleotide ribosomal RNA is filed under the name uncultured bacterium. RNAcentral's name for it is "partial 16S ribosomal RNA". It matches the Rfam family "Bacterial small subunit ribosomal RNA", at positions 28 to 507 of the family's 1533-position model. The record is from RNAcentral.
GAUGAACGCUGGCGGCGUGCCUAAUACAUGCAAGUCGAGCGAACAGAUAAGGAGCUUGCUCCUUUGAAGUUAGCGGCGGACGGGUGAGUAACACGUGGGUAACCUACCUAUAAGACUGGGAUAACUUCGGGAAACCGGAGCUAAUACCGGAUAACAUUAGAACCGCAUGGUUCUAAAGGGAAAGAUGGGUUUUCUAACACUUAUAGAUGGACCCGCGCCGUAUUAGCUAGUUGGUAAGGUAACGGCUUACCAAGGCGACGAUACGUAGCCGACCUGAGAGGGUGAUCGGCCACACUGGAACUGAGACACGGUCCAGACUCCUACGGGAGGCAGCAGUAGGGAAUCUUCCGCAAUGGGCGAAAGCCUGACGGAGCAACGCCGCGUGAGUGAUGAAGGGUUUCGGCUCGUAAAACUCUGUUAUUAGGGAAGAACAAAUGUGUAAGUAACUGUGCACAUCUUGACGGUACCUAAUCAGAAAGCCACGGCUAACUACGUG